UACGAGGGGGGCAAGCGUUGUUCGGAAUUAUUGGGCGUAAAGGGCGCGUAGGCGGUCUGACAAGUCUUGUGUGAAAUCUCUGGGCUCAACCCAGAGUCUGCACAGGAAACUGUCGGGCUAGAGUAUGGGAGAGGUGCGUGGAAUUUCCGGUGUAGCGGUGAAAUGCGUAGAUAUCGGAAGGAACACCUGUGGCGAAAGCGGCUCACUGGACCAUUACUGACGCUGAUGCACGAAAGCUAGGGGAGCAAACAGG
Molecule: ribosomal RNA, 253 nt
Filed under: uncultured bacterium
Lineage: Bacteria
Description: partial 16S ribosomal RNA
Rfam family: Bacterial small subunit ribosomal RNA
Source: RNAcentral